This 101-nucleotide ribosomal RNA is filed under the name Hebeloma sp. 'Seebeck P2'. RNAcentral describes it as "partial 5.8S ribosomal RNA". It matches the Rfam family "5.8S ribosomal RNA", at positions 1 to 98 of the family's 154-position model. Rfam says of the family: 5.8S ribosomal RNA (5.8S rRNA) is a component of the large subunit of the eukaryotic ribosome. It is transcribed by RNA polymerase I as part of the 45S precursor that also contains 18S and 28S rRNA. The record is from RNAcentral. Lineage: Eukaryota; Fungi; Basidiomycota; Agaricomycetes; Agaricales; Hymenogastraceae.
UACAACUUUCAGCAACGGAUCUCUUGGCUCUCGCAUCGAUGAAGAACGCAGCGAAAUGCGAUAAGUAAUGUGAAUUGCAGAAUUCAGUGAAUCAUCGAAUC